RNAcentral lists this ribosomal RNA (315 nucleotides) under Bacillus subtilis. Its description in RNAcentral is "bacterial SSU rRNA". It matches the Rfam family "Bacterial small subunit ribosomal RNA", at positions 1 to 305 of the family's 1533-position model. The record is from RNAcentral. Lineage: Bacteria; Bacillati; Bacillota; Bacilli; Caryophanales; Bacillaceae.
UUUAUCGGAGAGUUUGAUCCUGGCUCAGGACGAACGCUGGCGGCGUGCCUAAUACAUGCAAGUCGAGCGGACAGAUGGGAGCUUGCUCCCUGAUGUUAGCGGCGGACGGGUGAGUAACACGUGGGUAACCUGCCUGUAAGACUGGGAUAACUCCGGGAAACCGGGGCUAAUACCGGAUGGUUGUUUGAACCGCAUGGUUCAAACAUAAAAGGUGGCUUCGGCUACCACUUACAGAUGGACCCGCGGCGCAUUAGCUAGUUGGUGAGGUAACGGCUCACCAAGGCGACGAUGCGUAGCCGACCUGAGAGGGUGAUC